CAGUGACACUGGAGAUGCGCGUUCAUGUGAAUUCUCCAUUUUGUUCUUUCAGUCUUUGAACGAAUACAACGUCGCCCGGUUGGAAUAUUAUCGCUAUUUUACGAGAAAAAUCGCAUAAAAAUUGAUUUUAAACAGCGUUUGACAUGCUUCGAAGUACGGUAAUGGAAUAUUUUGAAUUUUUUUGUCAUUGUGACCUGAAUACACGAACAAAACGGAGCUAUUUCAAUAUAACUAUGGAUUAUUUCGAACCAAAACAACAUUUGUUGUUGAAGUAGAAGUCCUGGGAGUGCAUUCUGACGAAAAACAGCAAAGGAUUUGGACCUGUUCCCGGGAAAGCAGUAUGUCGGACGCGUCGGACUCGUUAAAGGGGGAAAAAAACUUCUGCCAGUUUGUGGGCCAUGAUGAUAUGGACGAGACUUCCAAAUCGAAGAAAAGACACAUGAUGACCACAAUUUGAAUGCUGCAACUGAGAGAGAAUGAUGCUGAGGGACACACGUCGAGGGACACGCAUUGAGACCCC
This 520-nucleotide long non-coding RNA is filed under the name Salmo salar (Atlantic salmon). Its description in RNAcentral is "lncRNA (ENSSSAG00000119845.1)". Lineage: Eukaryota; Metazoa; Chordata; Actinopteri; Salmoniformes; Salmonidae. The record is from RNAcentral.